GGGAGCAAGAUCCCGGAGAUGGAUUCUGAGACAUGAAUCCAGGCCCUACGGGGCGCAGCAGGCGCGCAAACUUUACAAUGCGAGCAAUCGUGAUAAGGAAACCCUGAGUGCCUGUCGAUGCAGGCUGUUCAUAUAUCUAAAUCAUAUGUGAAGAAAGGGCAGGGCAAGACCGGUGCCAGCCGCCGCGGUAAUACCGGCUGCUCGAGUGAUGGCCACUAUUACUGGGUUUAAAGCGUCCGUAGCUUGACUGUUAGGUCUCUUGGGAAAUCUUCGCGCUCAACGUGAAGGCGUCUAAGAGAUACCGGCAGUCUUGGAACUGGGAGAGGUAAACCGUACUUCGGGGGUAGGAGUGAAAUCUUGUAAUCCUCGAGGGACGACCUAUGGCGAAGGCAGUUUACCAGAACAGCUUCGACAGUGAGGGACGAAAGCUGGGGGAGCAAACGGGAUUAGAUACCCCGGUAGUCCCAGCCGUAAACAAUGCGGUUAGGUGAGUAUUGGGAAUUCCUGCAGC
RNAcentral lists this ribosomal RNA (511 nucleotides) under uncultured Methanocorpusculum sp. Its description in RNAcentral is "bacterial SSU rRNA". It matches the Rfam family "Archaeal small subunit ribosomal RNA", at positions 278 to 807 of the family's 1478-position model. The record is from RNAcentral. Lineage: Archaea; Methanobacteriati; Methanobacteriota; Methanomicrobia; Methanomicrobiales; Methanocorpusculaceae.